This 470-nucleotide ribosomal RNA is filed under the name uncultured bacterium. Its description in RNAcentral is "bacterial SSU rRNA". It matches the Rfam family "Bacterial small subunit ribosomal RNA", at positions 29 to 506 of the family's 1533-position model. The record is from RNAcentral.
ACGAACGCUGGCGGCGUGCUUAACACAUGCAAGUCGAACGCGAAAGGGACUUCGGUCCCGAGUAGAGUGGCGCACGGGUGAGUAACGCGUAAGUGAUCUACCCCUGUAUUUGGGAUAACUAUGGGAAACUGUAGCUAAUACCGGAUACGUUCAUGUUCUUGCGAGUAUAUGAAGAAAGAUGGCCUCUGAUUCAAGCUAUUGUACAGGGAGGAGCUUGCGUACCAUUAGCUAGUUGGUAGGGUAAUGGCCUACCAAGGCAACGAUGGUUAGCGGGUCUGAGAGGAUGAUCCGCCACACUGGAACUGAAACACGGACCAGACUCCUACGGGAGGCAGCAGUGAGGAAUAUUGCGCAAUGGGGGCAACCCUGACGCAGCGACGCCGCGUGGAUGAUGGCCUUCGGGUUGUAAAGCACUUUUAUGAGGGAAGAGCAAGGACUGUACCUCAUGAAUAAGGAUCGGCUAACUACGU